AGAAUAACAAAAUAUAAAAUAAUUUUAAAUAAACAGAACACUGUCAACAAUGACAACAUAUAAAUAUAUAUAUAGUAUAUACAUUCAGUGUGGGCUAGGUGCCCUGCUCAAAGGCACUUUCACAGCUGAUGUUCAGGGAGUGUAGAGCUCUUAAAGUUAAAUUUAGUUUUUAUAAAAAGAGAAAAUUCAGCUCUGAAUGUGCCAGACAACCUCAGCUUGUAUUCUGAAUGUUUCUCACAGUCAUAGUGAAUAAAGGUGACCACAAAUCAGUUAAAUGUCAUCAAAAAACACAGACACUGCUGUCUGCUGAAUCACACAGUUUUAACACCAUUAACUGAUUCAGAUCAGUCUAAACAGGUGGGGAAUCAACUGUAAGUCACAUUUCCCCUUUACGUCUUGUAACUUUCGUCCUUAAAAUACAAAAAAAACCCAUAUAUAUUCUUCUCAUUCAGUUAGAGGUAAGACUGAGUUGUACAAAUAAAUUAAGUUUUUACUAACUACUAAUUUGUUUCAGACUGAUUAUUCACUAAAUCAGGUUGCACCAUUAAAACUUAUAGCAUACAAGCAGAAAUA
This is a long non-coding RNA of Dicentrarchus labrax (European seabass), 573 nucleotides long. RefSeq lists it as uncharacterized. The transcript is spliced from 2 exons. The record is from RefSeq and is a predicted model, not a curated record. NCBI's taxonomy places the organism in Eukaryota, Metazoa, Chordata, Actinopteri, Moronidae.